AGGAGUUUAGCUGAGCGGUUUAGCCAUAAUCUUACACAUUAUAGACAGGGGUUCGAAUCCCUUAACUCCUA
This 71-nucleotide transfer RNA is filed under the name Phanerochaete carnosa. RNAcentral's name for it is "tRNA-Val". It matches the Rfam family "tRNA". Rfam says of the family: Transfer RNA (tRNA) molecules are approximately 80 nucleotides in length. Their secondary structure includes four short double-helical elements and three loops (D, anti-codon, and T loops). Lineage: Eukaryota; Fungi; Basidiomycota; Agaricomycetes; Polyporales; Phanerochaetaceae. The record is from RNAcentral.